Molecule: long non-coding RNA, 2086 nt
Organism: Nelumbo nucifera (sacred lotus)
Lineage: Eukaryota; Viridiplantae; Streptophyta; Magnoliopsida; Proteales; Nelumbonaceae
Source: RefSeq, a predicted model, not a curated record
CCAUCUCCUCACCAUCUUCUCACUUCCCACCUCUCUCUCUCCGCGUAUGAGUUUUCUCUUUUCUUUCUUUCGAGGCAGAGAGAAGUUUUCAGACAAGAAAGCAAGGGAGAAGUUUGUACGCGGUAAGAGCGCAGCUUAAGAAGGCCCAAGUUGAUCCUGCCGCAAUAGCUGGUGUUCAUAUCUCAGCAUGACAAGCUCAGGAUCAAAGCAGACUUUCCCCAUGUUCAAUUGGUAGCUAGGAGAAACAGAUUUUGCUUCUUCUAAUACUAAAACUUCAGCUCAAAUCUUGCUUCUUCAAUUAAUUUGCUGUCACCAUUCUAAUAUUCCUUGUAGGUCACUUGGCGCUCUGAAGCCAGCAGUGCCUUAUAUGGGUUCUCCACCAUCAUCUCCAUGUUCAAAGCUUCAGGAAUCAGAUUCUCCAGUCCAACCUGAAUCUUCAGGAACAAAAGCUUCACAAGAUGAUGAAGAGAUCUUAAUGGGGUUUUGUCUUGACAAUGGAAGUUUGUCGAUAAAAAUGGAGUGUUCACCUUGAUUAGGUGCUAUCCUACCUGAGCUUUUACACUACACCUUCCUCACCUCUUUAAUCUUUUUUGUUGUGUUUUUUUUAUUCUUUUAUCCAAUCACCAACCUUUAUUCCCAUUUUUCUAGUCUUCUUGACCUUGUAAGACCUUUUCUUGGCCUUGUAAGACCCCAUGUCACGCUUGCUUUCUUUGUUUUUCAGUUUGUGAUUAAUUCUCUAUCCAAUACCAAGGAUAGGGAGUUUGAUCUCUGUUGUUUCCCUGUUUCCACCCAACUCACCUUCUUUUUCUCUGUCUAUCCCUCCUGAGCUAAGCUAUUUGAAUCAAACCCACUGCCCCCAUUCCACCAUUGAAUUCUUUAUAAACAUUUCCUCUCAUCACACAAGCUGUUUGAAGAUUAAUUCUCAAGAAUCAAAUGAGGGCUUUAUUCGACCUGAGCAUCUGUCCACGAGUGGAUCAUGGGAUAUGCAUGUGAGGAAAACAAAAGAAAAAUGGCGAAAGUGAUCACUGAAGAAGCACUCCAGAGAGUACCCAAGCGUUAAUUAGGAAGCCAUUGAUUUACUUAUCUUGUCAUGGAUUUUCCUUGUUUUUGUAUGUACAGAAAUAUGCUGUUGCAGGCCUCGUUUUCGUUGUUUUAUUUGUUGGCUGAUGAGUGAAUAGAGAAUAAAUAUUCUCACAGAUCUAUGAAGAGUCUCCUCGUGACUGCUCCUAUGUACAAUUACAAUAUAUCCACUGUAUUAUUGAAUCUCUCUAUCUCUCUCAGAAAUACAUGUUUUUCCUUCUGUUAUUAAUUGUAUUUCUUUUUUUUCUUGUUCUACUACUUGGGAUUUGGGAACUUGUCAUAUAUUUAUUAGUGUUAUUCAGAUUUUCUGUAAGUAGCUGUAGUUGUAAAGAAAAGCCUCUAUGUUGCUGAGACUGAGAGACACAGCUACUCUUAAUAUUGAACUUUAAUCUUCUGCAGUCCUUGAGUCCUUUUUUUUUUUUCUUUUCUUCCUUGUCGUUCGUUUCUCUUGCAAUGCAAGUUAGUUGGGACUGAACAAUUAUGGCAUUGAGUACUAAACAAAGUAAACAGUAAGGUCAUCAUCAAGAAACUCGAACAAAAAUAUUAAUUGGAAUCAAUCCAAUAUUAAAUUUUACAGGACGAAGAUGGUAAUCAAGCAAAGCAAUUGGCAGGCAGAGGUUUCUCUCAUCUCUGGGCUCUGGGCUCUGGUAUCGACUUGUUAAGAUGAUGGGAGUUUGUAUUAUGAAAAGUGAAAAAACAACCCAUGUGCCUAGAUUUGUUCAAAAGGUGACAAAUUCUUGCUCUUCUCUUUGUUUCUGGUGGGUGGAGGGUGGACGGGUGGUAGUGAGAGAAUUGUUAACAAGACACAAUCAUGCACCGUUGUGCGUUUCUCCUUUUCAGGUACGAUAUCAACUUAAAGCUUUGGAGCAGAGAUAGUCAGCAUCAAUUCUGGGGUAUGGGCAGAUGAUUAAGCAUGUGUUUAGAAAUUGACAGAUCGAGGCCAGUGAGCGCAGCGAGGGCGUUUCUGUAAUGGUUCAAUGCUCGGAAUGAAGCCCCUUUUAAUUUC